GAUGAAUGCUGGCGGCGUGCCUAAUACAUGCAAGUCGUACGGAAAGGCCCUUCGGGGUACUCGAGUGGCGGACGGCUGAGUAACGCGUGGGAACGUGCCCCAAAGUGAGGAAUAACUGCCCGAAAGGGCAGCUAAUGCCGCAUAUGGUCUUCGGAUUAAAGCUUCGGCGCUUUGGGAGCGGCCCGCGUACGAUUAGAUAGUUGGUGAGGUAAUGGCUCACCAAGUCGACGAUCGUUAGCUGGUCUGAGAGGAUGAUCAGCCAGACUGGAACUGAGACACGGUCCAGACUCCUACGGGAGGCAGCAGUAAGGAAUCUUCCACAAUGGGGGCAACCCUGAUGGAGCAACGCCGCGUGAAGGAUGAAGGCCCUCGGGUCGUAAACUUCUUUUAUGAGUGAAGAAUAUGACGGUAACUCAUGAAUAAGCACCGGCUAACUACGUGCCAGCCGCCGCUGUAA
RNAcentral lists this ribosomal RNA (457 nucleotides) under uncultured bacterium. RNAcentral describes it as "partial 16S ribosomal RNA". It matches the Rfam family "Bacterial small subunit ribosomal RNA", at positions 28 to 523 of the family's 1533-position model. The record is from RNAcentral.